RNAcentral lists this ribosomal RNA (219 nucleotides) under uncultured bacterium. Its description in RNAcentral is "partial 16S ribosomal RNA". It matches the Rfam family "Bacterial small subunit ribosomal RNA", at positions 122 to 334 of the family's 1533-position model. The record is from RNAcentral.
UAACCUACCCAUCAGAGGGGGAUAACAUUUGGAAACAGGUGCUAAUACCGCAUAACAGUUUAUGCCGCAUGGCAUAAGAGUGAAAGGCGCUUUCGGGUGUCGCUGAUGGAUGGACCCGCGGUGCAUUAGCUAGUUGGUGAGGUAACGGCUCACCAAGGCCACGAUGCAUAGCCGACCUGAGAGGGUGAUCGGCCACACUGGGACUGAGACACGGCCCAG